RNAcentral lists this long non-coding RNA (411 nucleotides) under Cricetulus griseus (Chinese hamster). Its description in RNAcentral is "lncRNA (ENSCGRG00000024952.1)". The record is from RNAcentral. Lineage: Eukaryota; Metazoa; Chordata; Mammalia; Rodentia; Cricetidae.
UAGUGUGUAACUAAAAACUUAUGACUCUUAUAUCUGAAUCAUUCCAUUGCAUGUUUUCAGGUUUUUGUUGGCCAAAGAUAACUGGAACCUUGGGUAAGGAGGGCAUCGCAUAAGAAAACCCACUAGAGGCACACAUCAUGGUUCAUAGCCCUGUGCCUGGCACAGUGAGACCACAGUGUUUAAUAAAUGAUUGUUCACUCAUUAGAAAACCAGAGGGACCAAAGAAAGCAAGAGGAAGAAGAUGCCUGGAUGGCAACCAACCUCAUACAGGGACUCACGCUAAUGACUAAAGGCUCUGAGAAUUCCUGCAAUGAGGAAGUGUGCUUUGGACCAAUUCUCUGUGCUCUGAGAUUGCUAAUACCACCAGCCUCAUGGACUCUGCCACAAAGACGACUCAGAAACACCCCAUGA